RNAcentral lists this ribosomal RNA (845 nucleotides) under Klebsiella pneumoniae. Its description in RNAcentral is "partial 23S ribosomal RNA". It matches the Rfam family "Bacterial large subunit ribosomal RNA", at positions 390 to 1238 of the family's 2925-position model. Lineage: Bacteria; Pseudomonadati; Pseudomonadota; Gammaproteobacteria; Enterobacterales; Enterobacteriaceae. The record is from RNAcentral.
GCACAGGCUGUGAACUCGAAGAGUAGGGCGGGACACGUGGUAUCCUGUCUGAAUAUGGGGGGACCAUCCUCCAAGGCUAAAUACUCCUGACUGACCGAUAGUGAACCAGUACCGUGAGGGAAAGGCGAAAAGAACCCCGGCGAGGGGAGUGAAAAAGAACCUGAAACCGUGUACGUACAAGCAGUGGGAGCACCUUCGGGUGUGACUGCGUACCUUUUGUAUAAUGGGUCAGCGACUUAUAUUCUGUAGCAAGGUUAACCGUAUAGGGGAGCCGCAGGGAAACCGAGUCUUAACUGGGCGUUAAGUUGCAGGGUAUAGACCCGAAACCCGGUGAUCUAGCCAUGGGCAGGUUGAAGGUUGGGUAACACUAACUGGAGGACCGAACCGACUAAUGUUGAAAAAUUAGCGGAUGACUUGUGGCUGGGGGUGAAAGGCCAAUCAAACCGGGAGAUAGCUGGUUCUCCCCGAAAGCUAUUUAGGUAGCGCCUCGUGAACUCAUCUUCGGGGGUAGAGCACUGUUUCGGCUAGGGGGUCAUCCCGACUUACCAACCCGAUGCAAACUACGAAUACCGAAGAAUGUUAUCACGGGAGACACACGGCGGGUGCUAACGUCCGUCGUGAAGAGGGAAACAACCCAGACCGCCAGCUAAGGUCCCAAAGUCAUGGUUAAGUGGGAAACGAUGUGGGAAGGCACAGACAGCCAGGAUGUUGGCUUAGAAGCAGCCAUCAUUUAAAGAAAGCGUAAUAGCUCACUGGUCGAGUCGGCCUGCGCGGAAGAUGUAACGGGGCUAAACCAUGCACCGAAGCUGCGGCAGCGACACUAUGUGUUGUUGGGUAGGGGAGCG